GUAGUCAUAUGCUUGUCUCAAAGAUUAAGCCAUGCAUGUCUAAGUACAUGCCUCAUUAAGGCGAAACCGCGAAUGGCUCAUUAAAUCAGUUAUGGUUCCUUAGAUCGUACCUUACUACUUGGAUAACUGUGGUAAUUCUAGAGCUAAUACAUGCAUCAGAGCUCCGACCCUCUGGGGACGAGCGCUUUUAUUAGACCAAAACCAAUCGGACUCGUUCCGUAUCCUAUGGUGACUCUGUAUAACUUUGGGCUGAUCGCAUGGGCUUGUCCCGGCGACGCAUCUUUCAAGUGUCUGCCUUAUCAACUGUCGAUGGUAGGUUAUGCGCCUACCAUGGUCGUAACGGGUAACGGGGAAUCAGGGUUCGAUUCCGGAGAGGGAGCCUGAGAAACGGCUACCACAUCCAAGGAAGGCAGCAGGCGCGCAAAUUACCCACUCCCGGCACGGGGAGGUAGUGACGAAAAAUAACAAUACGGGACUCUUUUGAGACCCCGUAAUUGGAAUGAGUACACUCUAAAUCCUAUCACCAGGAUCUAUUGGAGGGCAAGUCUGGUGCCAGCAGCCGCGGUAAUUCCAGCUCCAAUAGCGUAUAUUAAAGUUGUUGCGGUUAAAAAGCUCGUAGUUGGAUCUCAGUUCCAGACGGGCGGUCCGCCUAACGGUGGUUACUGCCUGGCCUGAACAGCCAGCCGGUUUCCCUAGAUGAUCUUCACCGGUUGUCUUGGGUGACCGGCACGUUUACUUUGAAAAAAUUAGAGUGCUCAAAGCAGGCGUGUAGCCUGAAUAAUGGUGCAUGGAAUAAUGAAAUAGGACUUCGUUUCUAUUUUGUUGGUUUUCGGAACACGAGGUAAUGAUUAAGAGGGACAGACGGGGGCAUUCGUAUUGCGACGCUAGAGGUGAAAUUCUUGGACCGUCGCAAGACGAACUACUGCGAAAGCAUUUGCCAAGAAUGUUUUCAUUAAUCAAGAACGAAAGUUAGAGGUUCGAAGGCGAUCAGAUACCGCCCUAGUUCUAACCAUAAACGAUGCCAACCAGCGAUCCGCCUGAGUUCCUCAAAUGACUCGGCGGGCAGCUUCCGGGAAACCAAAGUGUUUGGGUUCCGGGG
RNAcentral lists this ribosomal RNA (1099 nucleotides) under Teyloides bakeri. RNAcentral describes it as "SSU rRNA". It matches the Rfam family "Eukaryotic small subunit ribosomal RNA", at positions 20 to 1119 of the family's 1831-position model. The record is from RNAcentral. Lineage: Eukaryota; Metazoa; Arthropoda; Arachnida; Araneae; Anamidae.